RNAcentral lists this ribosomal RNA (441 nucleotides) under uncultured soil bacterium. RNAcentral describes it as "bacterial SSU rRNA". It matches the Rfam family "Bacterial small subunit ribosomal RNA", at positions 26 to 474 of the family's 1533-position model. The record is from RNAcentral.
AGAUUGAACGCUGGCGGCAUGCCUUACACAUGCAAGUCGAACGGUAGAGUAGCAACACUUGAGAGUGGCGAACGGGUGAGUAAUAUAUCGGAACGUGCCCAGUCGUGGGGGGAUAACGUAGAGAAAUUUACGCUAAUACCGCAUACGAUCUAAGGAUGAAAGCGGGGGACCGUAAGGCCUCGCGCGAUUGGAGCGGCUGAUAUCAGAUUAGGUUGUUGGUGAGGUAAAAGCUCACCAAGCCGACGAUCUGUAGCUGGUUUGAGAGAACGACCAGCCACACUGGGACUGAGACACGGCCCAGACUCCUACGGGAGGCAGCAGGUGGGAAUUUGGACAAGUGGGACGAAAGCCUGAUCCAGCAAUGCCGCGUGCAGGAAGAAGGCCUUCGGGUUGUAAACUGUCUUUUGUACGGAACGAAACGGUCUAGACUUUAAUACGAGU